GUUUUUCCACUGGGAAAUCCCUUCUGGAAAGGAGGUAAAAGUAACGGUCCCUUUCUAUUAAAAAGUCUGCCGUUUGUGGACAAAAAGCAUGAAUGUGGCCAUUCCCUUGUUUGAAGCAUGGAGAAGGAAGGAAGCAUGCCUCUUCCAUUUUCCUGUGUUCUAUUCCAGGCCUCCCUGCUGGGAGUGCCACUCGUCCAGGCACCCAGAAACUCUUGCUGGUGGGUGUUACCUGGUGGCAGUACCAUCCCCAGCUUUGGACCAUUUCACCUCCUUUCUGUCCUCUCCUUUCCUUCAGAUGUAUUUUCCCAUGCUCUGUUUUCUACUAGGUUGCACGAUGGGUCUUUUGUCCUGAAGACAUUGCCCUUUGAAGACCAGGAAGGUCUUGCUGCCUAAGGAAGUUGCUUCAGCAGAGGGACCUCCUUUAUUAUCCCGCUUUGCCUUCUCAGAGGAUCUUGUGGCUGUUGCAUCUGAUUGUCAGGGGUAUGGCCAGUCCUCUGCUCCUGAACAAGAAACCAAGGAGCCAUCACAGGUUGGCACAGCUGUGACUUGGUGUCUCCAUCCCAACUUCUGCUCGAACCUGGUCUAAUGAUUCAGAUCUUGUCUGAACCAAAUACCUUGUCUUUUACGAUGCCUUCCCUGGACUUCCCUGGAGGUGGUUCUUACAUGGUGCCCACAUGUUUCACUUGACCAGUGGCUAGUGGCAGCACAGGCCUCAUCAUGGCCAUGUCAAGGGUCACUCUUAUUUAAGAGAAGGAUGAAGUGGUACAAGGUCAGGAACCCCCUUUCAUGGCAAUCAAUCACUGAGUCACAGAAGGGUUCAGACAGAUGGGAAACCAACAAGACCACCCCUGAAGCAGGAAGAGAGGUUGGUCAGACACACACUGCCCCAUGGAAGAGACCCACAGGAAACACUGAUGGACUGAAUUAUGUACCCAUUAUGGCUCUGAAUGAGACAGUUGUGGAGCGAAUCUGUGGAUUAAUGUGCCUACUUAAUUGCAGUUGUAACAAAUCAUUGAUCAAAUUUGUGGAACUAGCUGAUCCCUUUUUGCUCCUUCUUCUAGUAUGCUCUCCACAAGAGUGACAAGGUAAGGGGCUCCUGAUCCACAUAUGAAUACAAGGGAAGCCCCACCCCCUGGAAUGAAGAAAACUGAGGGCCUCUUUCUCCUAUUCUGUGGGUCUUCUAGAAUAUCCAAGAUGCAUUAAGGAUUGGAAAGGUGCCCUCUUUUCAGAAACUCCAGCCAAAGAGCACAGAGCAAAGCAGAUGUCUAUGCCCGCUUUCCUUCAAGGAAAGGCUUGAAACACACUUCACAAGACUCUUCCAUCAUCUCUCAUUUAGAGAGCCUGUGUCCCCAAUGCUGUGUCUUUGCCCCCUCUACCUGGAAUGCUCUCCUGUUGCCACCACAUUUCUGCUUGUAGACAUUUAACCCAUCCUUCACAGCCUGAUAAAGGCAUCUGCUCAAAGGAGUAGUCUCAGAUCUACAUGGUCAGAAUCACACUCUGUCCCCACCGGCCCCAUAAUCAGGUGCUUAUGCUGUUCAUAGAUGGGUUGUUCAUACAUCCCAGUUUCCUUGGGACCGUCCUGCUUUAUGCCUGUCAUGCCAGGAUUCAUUAAUAGCAUCUUUUCACCUUCAAAACUGUCUCAAUUGAACGAUAGAUGGUAUGGUGUGGUGGACACACCCUCUGGUGACCCCCAUUGGGUCAUAUCUUUUUCUGACCCCUUCCCUUGAAUGCAGGAAGAACUGGUGACUUGCUUCUGGCCAAUAGAAUGUGGCCAAGGUGACAAGAUAGCCAUCCUUUGGUUGUGUCACUUUUUAUAAGACUCUGUUUUCGUGACUAAAGAGAGUGGGUCCCCUACAGGCCUUGAAGAAACGAGCUGCUAUGAUGUGAACUGCCUGAGGGAAGGGCCUUAGGAACUGUGGGCAGGAACCAUGGGCAGCCUCUACCUGCUGAAGGCCUUGGUCUUCUGGAUGUAAGGAACUGAAUUCUGCCAGCAGUCACAUGGCCAGAGGAGGACCCCAAGCUCCAGCGAGGAAAAUUGUGACUCCUCAAUGACGGUCUCUGAGCCCUGAGCAGAGGACCCACGUGAGCUGUGCCUGGACUCCUGACCCACAGGCACUGUGAGGUAUCUGAAAUGCCUGCCCUUUCCUCCAUGCCCAAAAGAGUGCAGAACUCAGAAGUUCUUCAUGGAUGCCUUCCAGAUAUGCUACUUGAAACCACUGAUGGGAAGACCGAGACUUGAGAGGCAAAAGUGCUUGCCCCAGGUCUCCCAGCUGGUAAGUACAGAUCCCCAAAGUUUUUCGCCCUAUUCCAAACUGCCUCUUCUCCCCUUGGGAUCCAGCCCUUUGCAAGACACCAGUGACUGGUAAAGUCUAGCGGAAAUCAUGCAGGAUUCAGUGACCAAGCCCUUGAACCUUGGGAAAGUCCUCAGAGAUUUUUUGCAUCUUGGCAUCCAAAAUGGCAAAAAGGAAAGAAAUCGAUUUGACCUUAGAGGUUUGGAUUUUGUAAGGCGUAACUGUGAGAACAAUUACUUAAUUGUAAUAGUUAACAAUGGUAAUUGUUGAGGAGUAUAGGCUCAAAACAAAUUAGUUCCUUAAUGAGGCAUUUGUUAGCUUGUUCUGAGAUGACAUAAUGCCUUAACACUAAUGAAGAUGCAGAAAAAAGGAUUUUAAAAACAGUGCUUAAUGUAUAACUCGGUGUUCUACCUCUUCUUCCGUGUGACGUGUGGGUAUACUCUCUCUGUCCCCAUCCUGAGCUCCAGCCUGUGCCUGAAGGCAGAAACCAGAAGUGUGUCCUUGUCUCCCAUCCUGAAAACAGGAUAGUUUGGUACAUUUGGAAGUGCUCUGUGUGCUAGGAGAGCACUUCCAAAAGCAAGUCUCUAAUGCAGAGUGGAGUUUACCUCCCAAACGAUUCCAGUGAGUAAGCCUUGUUGAUGCUUGACUA
This is a long non-coding RNA of Acinonyx jubatus (cheetah), 2940 nucleotides long. RefSeq lists it as uncharacterized. Lineage: Eukaryota; Metazoa; Chordata; Mammalia; Carnivora; Felidae. The record is from RefSeq and is a predicted model, not a curated record. The transcript has 4 exons.